GUAUUUUAAAAAUCAGUGGUAUCAAACAGUUCAGGAGUCAAAAAAGAUGGUACACAAUUUAUUGUAAAAAACGUACGAAAUAUAUCUGAAUUGUGAUUCAUUUUGAGUCGAUUAUUUAAUCUUUUAAAAUUUUAAUUUUAUUUAUCAAUCUUUUUAUUUAUUUGAUUUUAGCCGGUAAAUAAGUUAGUAUACUUUAUGAAAUUUUUGCAACUAUAAUUUUAUUAAAAUAAAUAGUUUUUUUAAAAUUUAAAGUCAAAACAUUGUUGAUUUAUUCAAAUCAAAUAAUUAAAAUAUUGUGUCACGCUCUGAAACAUGCUUGAAUUGUCUGCAAUAGAAUAGACCUGCCGAAUGGACAAAAUAUUAUAUUCUACCUGCACAAGACAUAGUAU
This 389-nucleotide long non-coding RNA is filed under the name Ananas comosus (pineapple). Its description in RNAcentral is "long non-coding RNA (ACOM_LNC009751)". The record is from RNAcentral. Lineage: Eukaryota; Viridiplantae; Streptophyta; Magnoliopsida; Poales; Bromeliaceae.